Molecule: ribosomal RNA, 575 nt
Filed under: Geastrum aff. kotlabae MA-Fungi 33300
Lineage: Eukaryota; Fungi; Basidiomycota; Agaricomycetes; Geastrales; Geastraceae
Description: eukaryotic LSU rRNA
Rfam family: 5.8S ribosomal RNA (bases 169-323)
Source: RNAcentral
CAUUACUGAAGGCAAUAGAGAGCCUUGAGACUGCGUCUUCAAUGGCGUGUGCUCGGACUCUCAUUCUUUCUUAUCCACAUACACCUUUGUGCACCAAUGGGACGCAAGUCCCCUUUUUCAUACAAAUACCAAGUUAUAUGCAUGUCAUUUAACAUAUUAAUUAUGUACAACUUUCAACAACGGAUCUCUUGGCUUUCGCAUCGAUGAAGAACGCAGCGAAUGUGCGAGACGUAAUGUGAAUUGCAGAAUUCAGUGAAUCAUCGAAUCUUUGAACGCAUCUUGCGCUCCUUGGUAUUCCGAGGAGCAUGCCUGUUUGAGUGUCGUGAAUUACUCUCAGUUUCUUACUUUGUUUUGAAACUGGACUUGAAUGCGUGUCGUGGGAUCGCACACGACUCAUUCUAAAUGCAUUAGCGGUCUGCCCUUGAUCACACAACAAUGUGAUAAGUUGAAAAGCAUUGGUCGUGUUCAAAACAGUGGCGAGACGGCUUCGAACUGUCCGGACCAACGGACAAACAAUUGAUCUCAUUUGACCUCAAAUCAGGUAGGACUACCCGCUGAACUUAAGCAUAUCAAUA